UGUCUGUCUGUGUGUCAGUUUGUAUGUAUGUGUGUGUGUCAGUAUGUAUGUCUUUGUGUGUGUCAGUAUGUAUGUGUCAGUCAGUAUAUGUCUGUGUGUCAGUUUGUAUGUCUAUGUGUUUGUCAGUAUGUAUGUCUGUGUGUGUGUCAGUAUGUAUGUCUGUGUGUAUGUCAGUAUGUCUGUGUGUGUCAGUUUGUGUGUCUGUAUGUAUGUCGGUGUGCCAGUCAGUAUGUCUGUGUAUGUGUCAGUAUGUCUGUCACAGUGUCUGUGUGUGUGUGUCAGUGUGUAUCUGUAUGUUGUCAGUAUGUAUGUAUCUGUGUGUGUGUGCCAGUGUGUAUACCUGUGCAUGUAUCUGUAUGUAGCCAAUGUGUGUAUCUGCAUGUGUGUCAGUGUUUGUAUCU
Pelobates cultripes (western spadefoot toad) is the source of this 401-nucleotide non-coding RNA. The record is from the annotation of a GenBank genome assembly. NCBI's taxonomy places the organism in Eukaryota, Metazoa, Chordata, Amphibia, Anura, Pelobatidae.